RNAcentral lists this ribosomal RNA (460 nucleotides) under uncultured bacterium. RNAcentral's name for it is "partial 16S ribosomal RNA". It matches the Rfam family "Bacterial small subunit ribosomal RNA", at positions 338 to 795 of the family's 1533-position model. The record is from RNAcentral.
CCUACGGGUGGCAGCAGUGAGGAAUAUUGGUCAAUGGACGAGAGUCUGAACCAGCCAUGUCGCGUGAAGGAAGACUGCCCUAUGAGUUGUAAACUUCUUUUAUAAAAGAAUAAACCUGAGCACGUGUAUUCAUCUGCAAGUACUUUACGAAUAAGGAUCGGCUAACUCCGUGCCAGCAGCCGCGGUAAUACGGAGGAUCCAAGCGUUAUCCGGAUUUAUUGGGUUUAAAGGGAGCGUAGGCGGGUUGUUAAGUUAGAUGUGAAAGUUUCGGGCUCAACUGUCGAAUUGCAUGUGAUACUGGUAGUCUAGAGUGUAGUUGAGGUAGGCGGAAUGCGUGGUGUAGCGGUGAAAUGCUUAGAGAUCACGAAGAACCCCGAUUGCGAAGGCAGCUUACCAAUCUGUGACUGACGUUGAUGCUCGAAAGCGUGGGGAGCAAACAGGAUUAGAUACCCUUGUAGUC